RNAcentral lists this ribosomal RNA (497 nucleotides) under uncultured bacterium. Its description in RNAcentral is "partial 16S ribosomal RNA". It matches the Rfam family "Bacterial small subunit ribosomal RNA", at positions 28 to 507 of the family's 1533-position model. The record is from RNAcentral.
GAUGAACGCUGGCGGCGUGCCUAAUACAUGCAAGUCGAGCGAACAGACGAGGAGCUUGCUCCUCUUACGUUAGCGGCGGACGGGUGAGUAACACGUGGAUAACCUACCUAUAAGACUGGGAUAACUUCGGGAAACCGGAUCUAAUACCGGAUAAUAUAUUGAACCGCAUGGUUCAAUAGUGAAAGACGGUUUUGCUGUCACUUAUAGAUGGAUCCGCGCCGCAUUAGCUAGUUGGUAAGGUAACGGCUUACCAAGGCAACGAUGCGUAGCCGACCUGAGAGGGUGAUCGGCCACACUGGAACUGAGACACGGUCCAGACUCCUACGGGAGGCAGCAGUAGGGAAUCUUCCGCAAUGGGCGAAAGCCUGACGGAGCAACGCCGCGUGAGUGAUGAAGGUCUUCGGAUCGUAAAACUCUGUUAUUAGGGAAGAACAAAUGUGUAAGUAACUAUGCACGUCUUGACGGUACCUAAUCAGAAAGCCACGGCUAACUACGUG